UACGGAGGGGGCUAGCGUUAUUCGGAAUUACUGGGCGUAAAGCGCACGUAGGCGGACUGGAAAGUUGGGGGUGAAAGCCCAGGGCUCAACCCUGGAACUGCCCUCAAAACUCCCAGUCUUGAGAUCGUGAGAGGUGAGUGGAAUUCCGAGUGUAGAGGUGAAAUUCGUAGAUAUUCGGAGGAACACCAGUGGCGAAGGCGGCUCACUGGCACGAUACUGACGCUGAGGUGCGAAAGCGUGGGGAGCAAACAGG
This 253-nucleotide ribosomal RNA is filed under the name uncultured bacterium. Its description in RNAcentral is "partial 16S ribosomal RNA". It matches the Rfam family "Bacterial small subunit ribosomal RNA", at positions 524 to 776 of the family's 1533-position model. The record is from RNAcentral.